UUUCCUACGGGGGGCAGCAGUCGGGAAUCUUGCACAAUGAGCGAAAGCUUGAUGCAGCGACGCCGCGUGAGCGAUGAAGGCCUUCGGGUUGUAAAGCUCUGUCUUCGUGGACGAAAGCCUUGAUGCAAAUAGUGUCGAGGGUUGACGGUACUCGAGGAGGAAGCCCCGGCUAACUACGUGCCAGCAGCCGCGGUAACACGUAGGGGGCGAGCGUUGUCCGGAAUUACUGGGCGUAAAGGGCGCGCAGGCGGCAAGUUAAGUCGAGUGUGAAAUCGCGCAGCUCAACUGCGCAACUGCGCUCGAAACUGGUUUGCUUGAGGACAGGAGAGGGAAGUGGAAUUUCCGGUGUAGCGGUGAAAUGCGUAGAUAUCGGAAGGAACACCAGUGGCGAAGGCGACUUCCUGGACUGCACCUGACGCUGAGGCGCGAAAGCUAGGGGAGCAAACGGGAUUAGAUACCCCGGUAGUCG
This 469-nucleotide ribosomal RNA is filed under the name uncultured Eubacteriales bacterium. RNAcentral describes it as "bacterial SSU rRNA". It matches the Rfam family "Bacterial small subunit ribosomal RNA", at positions 335 to 796 of the family's 1533-position model. Lineage: Bacteria; Bacillati; Bacillota; Clostridia; Eubacteriales. The record is from RNAcentral.